This 314-nucleotide unclassified non-coding RNA is filed under the name uncultured Fusarium. RNAcentral's name for it is "partial contains 5.8S ribosomal RNA, internal transcribed spacer 2, and large subunit ribosomal RNA". The stretch from base 1 to 102 matches the Rfam family "5.8S ribosomal RNA", at positions 53 to 154 of the family's 154-position model. The record is from RNAcentral. Lineage: Eukaryota; Fungi; Ascomycota; Sordariomycetes; Hypocreales; Nectriaceae.
AUGCGAUAAGUAAUGUGAAUUGCAGAAUUCAGUGAAUCAUCGAAUCUUUGAACGCACAUUGCGCCCGCCAGUAUUCUGGCGGGCAUGCCUGUUCGAGCGUCAUUACAACCCUCAGGCCCCCGGGCCUGGCGUUGGGGAUCGGCGGAAGCCCCCUGUGGGCACACGCCGUCCCUCAAAUACAGUGGCGGUCCCGCCGCAGCUUCCAUUGCGUAGUAGCUAACACCUCGCAACUGGAGAGCGGCGCGGCCAUGCCGUAAAACACCCAACUUCUGAAUGUUGACCUCGAAUCAGGUAGGAAUACCCGCUGAACUUAA